UGGGAAUAUCGGACAAUGGGCGGAAGCCUGAUCCAGCAACGCCGCGUGAGGGAUGACGGCCUUCGGGUUGUAAACCUCUUUCAGCACAGACGAAGCGCAAGUGACGGUAUGUGCAGAAGAAGGACCGGCCAACUACGUGCCAGCAGCCGCGGUAAUACGUAGGGUCCGAGCGUUGUCCGGAAUUAUUGGGCGUAAAGGGCUCGUAGGCGGUUUGUCGCGUCGGGAGUGAAAACACCGGGCUUAACUCGGUGUUUGCUUUCGAUACGGGCAGACUAGAGGCAUUCAGGGGAGAACGGAAUUCCUGGUGUAGCGGUGAAAUGCGCAGAUAUCAGGAGGAACACCGGUGGCGAAGGCGGUUCUCUGGGAAUGUCCUGACGCUGAGGAGCG
RNAcentral lists this ribosomal RNA (387 nucleotides) under uncultured bacterium. RNAcentral describes it as "partial 16S ribosomal RNA". It matches the Rfam family "Bacterial small subunit ribosomal RNA", at positions 356 to 755 of the family's 1533-position model. The record is from RNAcentral.